UACUUACUUUAACCCAGGCCCGAUCCAAC
This 29-nucleotide non-coding RNA is filed under the name Bombyx mori (domestic silkworm). Lineage: Eukaryota; Metazoa; Arthropoda; Insecta; Lepidoptera; Bombycidae. The record is from RNAcentral.